AACAUGAUUUUUUUCCUUCCCUUGGCAUUCAGCCCCACUGGAAUGGCUGGCUCCUGCUCUGAUGUGAAGUCCUAGAAUGGGCAAUGAGGGUCACCUCCCAUCCACUGAGGGCUGCUGCUGGAGCACAAAGCCAGACCAGCAGGGACAGGUGCUAAUGAAAGAAUGCAAAUAGCGUUGGUUGAUCAGAACACUUCAUAAAGAAGGGAACAAUCACCAAGCCAAACCAGCACAGAAUCCGCCGCCGUCAGACAGCAAAGGUAGGCACUGGGAUUUUGCAUUCUGCAUGUGUCUGCGUCUGCGUGUGUGGUGGUGGUG
Molecule: long non-coding RNA, 315 nt
Filed under: Chrysemys picta bellii (western painted turtle)
Lineage: Eukaryota; Metazoa; Chordata; Testudines; Emydidae
Description: lncRNA (ENSCPBG00000015626.1)
Source: RNAcentral